Molecule: long non-coding RNA, 705 nt
Organism: Formica exsecta
Lineage: Eukaryota; Metazoa; Arthropoda; Insecta; Hymenoptera; Formicidae
Exons: 9
Source: RefSeq, a predicted model, not a curated record
AAUAAGCGUCGCUUGUCGCUUCUUUCGUUCAUUUGCAAUCGAACCUCUUGAUGGGCGGGACGUACUCUGAAAAGUGCUGGAUUUAUUAUAAAGCCUCCCUCGCUAUAUCGCUUCGAGCGUCGAAGAGCACCCGCUAAAAGUAGCUCGCUGUUAUCACAAGCACAAUUUUAAUGGAGAUUGAGGAAGAAAGUAUGACAAAUAGCAAGAUUUAUUGUAACAACAGGAUUCUUCUUAUGAUCAGGAGUUUAUAUGGAGAUUGAGGAAGAAAGUAUGACAAAUAGCAAGAUUUAUUGUAACAACAGGAUUCUUCUUAUGAUCAGGAGUUCAUAUUUUCAUCUGGAAAAUGGAUGAGGGUGACCUCUAACCAUGAAGUGAAGUACAAUAUGAAUUAUAAUGCGAGAAAUAUGUGAACUGAAGUGUAUAUAUAUGAGAAACAGAUAAAUAUCAAUAUACACUGCACAAUCGCAAUGAGUGCAUUACAUUGAAGUUUCUUAUGGCGAGUUUCAUAAUCAAUAACAACACUCAUACAUGUGAUUUAUAUAGACACUAUUUGGAGAUGCGUCACUAAAUGCUACUCUAAUAUACAAGUGGAACAUUUCUAACGUAAAGAUGGACAUAGAAGACAAAAAAUAGAAGAAAUUACAUAUGUACAGCGAAUAAUGCAUGUUAUGGACAAGUAAUAAACAGUGAAAUAUUCCAUAGAAA